This 497-nucleotide ribosomal RNA is filed under the name uncultured bacterium. RNAcentral describes it as "partial 16S ribosomal RNA". It matches the Rfam family "Bacterial small subunit ribosomal RNA", at positions 28 to 507 of the family's 1533-position model. The record is from RNAcentral.
GAUGAACGCUGGCGGCGUGCCUAAUACAUGCAAGUCGAGCGAACGGACGAGAAGCUUGCUUUUCUGAUGUUAGCGGCGGACGGGUGAGUAACACGUGGAUAACCUACCUAUAAGACUGGGAUAACUUCGGGAAACCGGAGCUAAUACCGGAUAAUCUUUUGAACCGCAUGGUUCAAAAGUGAAAGACGGUCUUGCUGUCACUUAUAGAUGGAUCCGCGCUGCAUUAGCUAGUUGGUAAGGUAACGGCUUACCAAGGCAACGAUGCAUAGCCGACGUGAGAGGGUGAUAGGCCACACUGGAACUGAGACACGGUCCAGACUCCUACGGGAGGCAGCAGUAGGGAAUCUUCCGCAAUGGGCGAAAGCCUGACGGAGCAACGCCGCGUGAGUGAUGAAGGUCUUCGGAUCGUAAAACUCUGUUAUUAGGGAAGAACAUAUGUGUAAGUAACUGUGCACAUCUUGACGGUACCUAAUCAGAAAGCCACGGCUAACUACGUG